Odocoileus virginianus texanus is the source of this 938-nucleotide non-coding RNA. NCBI's taxonomy places the organism in Eukaryota, Metazoa, Chordata, Mammalia, Artiodactyla, Cervidae. The record is from RefSeq and is a predicted model, not a curated record.
CUCUCCCAGCUUCUGGGGCUUUUCUAGUGAACCACUGGACUGCCAGUAGAUUCCUGUUUUUACCCUCCUUGUUUCCAUAAUGCCACCAGUAUCAUUCUCAGCCGCCACGUUCUCCUGGGAGAUCAUGCUUGCCCCCCUGUUCCUCAUCGUCUUGGUCCUGGGGGGCAUAUGGAUGCACAGACGGUAUAAAUGCAGAACUGGAAAAGACUAUGGUUUGAUGGAGUUAAAGACUGGCCAUCCAGACUCGCAAUCCUAUCCGAGUAAAAUAAAGGAAAUAAAAUAGUUCACAUCAAGCCAAGUCCUUUCCAAGGGAAGCAGCUCAGCUUUGUGAAGGAUGCUCUUCUUGUCCUCGGUUGUGUACCAAAGCUACUGUGUUUAUAGUGGGUUUGUAGUGAGAGACUGAAAUGUCCACAUAAUGUUUAUUGUGAAACCAGAUCACGGGAACCAGUGUGCAUGUGGGUGGGUAGAGGCGCCCUUUGAAUAAGAGUUGAAAACAAUGAAAUGAGUUUUGAAAUUCAUUUAAUCAUUCCAUAAAAAUGUGUUAAAAGUUCUAUGUUGGCUAUGCUCUGUGGCAGAUAUUCUAGAUACAAAAAUAGUGAAGGCAUGGUUUUCCUUUUGGAAAGGUGGAAUUUUAUCUCGAAACUGGAAAGGAUGACUUAGAAAUAAUAAAGAGGGAGAAUCCUCAAGAAUUGGUAAAUGCUUUUUUAAAAGGAUGAUCCAGAAAAUGGCAGUGUCAAAUAGAUGGUCUGAAAAAUACAUAACGUACUAGUGAAUGGAGAAAUGGAUUCAGCUUUCGUAAUUAAACUUCUGAAAAUAAAAAGAAAGGAAGAGUGUUGAGAUGAUUGCAUACACAUUGUGGGGAAAAAAAAAAUCACAGCCUCUUUUAUAUAAUAUACCAAAAAUAAAUUCCUGCUAAGUUAAUGAGUUAAAUUUAAAAA